This is a long non-coding RNA of Procambarus clarkii (red swamp crayfish), 794 nucleotides long. RefSeq lists it as uncharacterized. Lineage: Eukaryota; Metazoa; Arthropoda; Malacostraca; Decapoda; Cambaridae. The record is from RefSeq and is a predicted model, not a curated record.
GAUAAGAUACCACAUUAAGCUAUCGUCCUCGCUUUACGACUUACAAAUACACGCAUAAGAGUGUAGAGAGGUGUUAACUACCUGGCAAGAUAUUGGCCUGUUUGUGUGUGUGGUGCCAUCCUGGUGAGGAGCAACACGUGCCAAUGGUCAUGUUGGUGUGGGUGUCCUUGCUGUUUCUAGCACAACCCUCCUGCGCUAUCAUGGAAAGAGGUGGUAGUUCAUGGUCUGAGUACAGCCUAGUGGUGGCGCCAGUGCUGCUCUUCAUGGUGGUGGUGUACCUGGAGGCCACCAGACGACCCAACCAUUACGACUACCCAGCUGCCAUUACCGUCUAUGACUACAACUAGCCGCCCGGAGACCAUAAGGCUACAAUCACUGCCUGUGACAGUAACUAUACCGUCCUUUACUGGAGGCAAAACCUCAAGCCGCAGCCUGACCCGGCUCGACAGCACUACUGUUAACAAGAACAGGGAGGAUCCUUCGUCACUCGUAAAUUAACAACAAACUCAUGUGAAUAAAGAAAUAAAUCUAAAAAAAAUAUUGUAAAAAUCGGAUAUCUAAAACAACAAUCAAGUACUCUGAACAUUUAUUCAGGUAAGCGAUUUGAGAAACAUGUAAUUUGAAGUAAUAUUGGCCAGCAGGUGAAUUUGUUUGUUUGUUCCUACUUAAACGUUUAAAACUGUUGCGUGUAGUAGUUCUAUUUAAAUUACAUUAUCGCAUAAUUAACUCAUACCGAAGCAUUGUUUUGAGGCUUCAACUGUAUGCUUCAUGAAAAUGUUCAGCGCGUAUUUGUU